This 127-nucleotide small RNA is filed under the name Marmota monax (woodchuck). Lineage: Eukaryota; Metazoa; Chordata; Mammalia; Rodentia; Sciuridae. The record is from RNAcentral.
ACUGGGCAUGGUGGCGCAUUCCUGUAACCCCAGUGACUUGGGAGGCUGAGACAGGAGAAUCUAUAGUUCAAGGCCAGCCUCAGCAAUUUAGCAAGACCCUCAGCAAUUUAGUGAGACUCUGUCUCUA